ACGGCUCAGUAACACGUAGUCAACCUAACCUAUGGACGGGAAUAACCUCGGGAAACUGAGAAUAAUGCCCGAUAGAACACUAUACCUGGAAUGGUUUGUGUUCCAAAUGAUUUAUCGCCAUAGGAUGGGACUGCGGCCCAUCAGUUUGUUGGUGAGGUAAUGGCCCACCAAGACUAUUACAGGUACGGGCUCUGAGAGGAGUAGCCCGGAGAUGGGUACUGAGACACGGACCCAGGCCCUAUGGGGCGCAGCAGGCGAGAAAACUUUGCAAUGUGCGAAAGCACGACAAGGUUAAUCCGAGUGAUUUGUGCUAAACGAAUCUUUUGUUAGUCCUAGAAGCAUUAACGAAUAAGGGGUGGGCAAGUUCUGGUGUCAGCCGCCGCGGUAAAACCAGCACCUCAAGUGGUCAGGAUGAUUAUUGGGCCUAAAGCAUCCGUAGCCGGCUCUGUAAGUUUUCGGUUAAAUCUGUACGCUUAACGUACAGGCUGCCGGGAAUACUGCAGAGCUAGGGAGUGGGGGAGGUAGACGGUACUCGGUAGGAAGUGGUAAAAUGCUUUGAUCUAUCGAUGACCACCUGUGGCGAAGGCGGUCUACCAGAACACGUCCGACGGUGAGGGAUGAAAGCUGGGGGAGCAAACCGGAUUAGAUACCCGGGUAGUCCCAGCUGUAAACUAUGCAAACUCAGUGAUGCAUUGGCUUGUGGCCAAUGCAGUGCUGCAGGGAAGCCGUUAAGUUUGCCGCCUGGGAAGUACGUACGCAAGUAUGAAACUUAAAGGAAUUGGCGGGGGAGCAC
RNAcentral lists this ribosomal RNA (793 nucleotides) under uncultured archaeon. Its description in RNAcentral is "bacterial SSU rRNA". It matches the Rfam family "Archaeal small subunit ribosomal RNA", at positions 85 to 879 of the family's 1478-position model. The record is from RNAcentral.